Molecule: long non-coding RNA, 232 nt
Organism: Eptesicus fuscus (big brown bat)
Lineage: Eukaryota; Metazoa; Chordata; Mammalia; Chiroptera; Vespertilionidae
Exons: 3
Source: RefSeq, a predicted model, not a curated record
CCGCUUAGAGUUCCACUCAGCUCACCUCAUGUACCUUCCAGUGUCAGGUCCUGCAGCCCAGGCCUCAGCUUACAGAACGAACUGCUGAGAGGAAGAACGAGAAGACUGGCAGAGAGAGGACAGCACUAGGGGCAGAAAGAAGUCCUGUAAAUGGAUAUGGACUUUGAGGACGUGGCCAUUGCCUUCUCUCAGGAGGAGUGGGGGCUCCUUGUUGAGGCUCAGAGACUUCUGU